This 725-nucleotide ribosomal RNA is filed under the name uncultured Actinomycetes bacterium. RNAcentral's name for it is "bacterial SSU rRNA". It matches the Rfam family "Bacterial small subunit ribosomal RNA", at positions 1 to 712 of the family's 1533-position model. Lineage: Bacteria; Bacillati; Actinomycetota; Actinomycetes. The record is from RNAcentral.
UCUCGAAUUCGAUUAGAGUUUGAUCAUGGCUCAGGACGAACGCUGACGGCGUGCUUAACACAUGCAAGUGGUGCGACGAGCCCCGGCUUGCCCUGCGGCAAAGCCGCGAACGGGUGAGUAACACGUGGGUAAUCUGCCCCGAUGACCGGGACAACCCGAGGAAACUCGGGCUAAUACCGGAUGUGGUGCACUGACGUAAGUUGGUGUACUAAAGGAAGCUUCGGCCUCCGCAUUGGGAGGUGCCCGCGGCCCAUUAGCUUGUUGGUGGGGUAACGGCCUACCAAGGCGACGAUGGGUAGCUGGUCUGAGAGGACGAUCAGCCACACUGGGACUGAGACACGGCCCAGACUCCUACGGGAGGCAGCAGUGGGGAAUCUUGCGCAAUGCGCGAAAGCGUGACGCACCAACGCCGCGUGGGGGACGACGGCCUUCGGGUUGUAAACCCCUUUCACGAGGGACGAAGGGUCACCGCUGAAUAGCCGUGUGGAUUGACGGUACUUCACAGCGCUCCGGCUAACUACGUGCCAGCAGCCGCCGUAAUACGUAGGGAGCAAGCGCUGUCAGAAUCAUUGGGCGUAAAGCGCGCGUACGUGGCCACAUAACUCCGGUGGUGAAGUCAAAGGCUCAACCUUUGAAAGCCGAUGGAUACUGUGGGCCACAGGUACGGACGAGGCGAUGGAAUUCUGGGGUAGCGGUGGAAUGCGCCAAAUUCAGGAGAACCCUAU